This 468-nucleotide ribosomal RNA is filed under the name uncultured bacterium. RNAcentral describes it as "partial 16S ribosomal RNA". It matches the Rfam family "Bacterial small subunit ribosomal RNA", at positions 28 to 507 of the family's 1533-position model. The record is from RNAcentral.
GACGAACGCUGGCGGCGUGCUUAACACAUGCAAGUCGAACGGAAAGGCCCUGCUUUUGUGGGGUGCUCGAGUGGCGAACGGGUGAGUAACACGUGAGUAACCUGCCCUUGACUUUGGGAUAACUUCAGGAAACUGGGGCUAAUACCGGAUAGGAGCUCCUGCUGCAUGGUGGGGGUGGGAAAGUUUCGGCGGUUGGGAAGGGCCUCGCGGCUUUUCAGCUUGUGGGUGGGGUAUUGGCUUACCAAGGCUUUGCCGGGUAGCGGGCCUGAGAGGGUGACCGGCCACAUUGGGACUGGGAUACGGGCCAGACUCCUACGGGAGGCAGGAGUGGGGAAUAUUGCACAAUGGGCGGAAGCCUGAUGCAGCAACGCCGCGUGCGGGAUGACGGCCUUCGGGUUGUAAACCGCUUUCGCCUGUGACGAAGCGUGAGUGACGGUAAUGGGUAAAGAAGCACCGGCUAACUACGUG